Molecule: ribosomal RNA, 434 nt
Filed under: uncultured bacterium
Lineage: Bacteria
Description: partial 16S ribosomal RNA
Rfam family: Bacterial small subunit ribosomal RNA
Source: RNAcentral
AGCGAACGCUGGCGGCAGGCCUAACACAUGCAAGUCGAACGAACCUUUCGGGGUUAGUGGCGGACGGGUGAGUAACACGUGGGAACGUGCCUUUAGGUUCGGAAUAACUCAGGGAAACUUGUGCUAAUACCGAAUGUGCCCUUCGGGGGAAAGAUUAAUCGCCUUUGGAGCGGCCCGCGUCGGAUUAGCUAGUUGGUUGAGGUAAUGGCUCACCAAGGCGACGAUCAGUAGCUGGUCUGAGAGGAUGAUCAGCCACAUUGGGACUGAGACACGGCCCAAACUCCUACGGGAGGCAGCAGUGGGGAAUCUUGCGCAAUGGGCGAAAGCCUGACGCAGCCAUGCCGCGUGAAUGAUGAAGGUCUUAGGAUUGUAAAAUUCUUUCACCGGGGACGAUAAUGACGGUACCCGGAGAAGAAGCCCCGGCUAACUUCGUG